Molecule: ribosomal RNA, 497 nt
Filed under: Fusarium sp. ZJLQ496
Lineage: Eukaryota; Fungi; Ascomycota; Sordariomycetes; Hypocreales; Nectriaceae
Description: eukaryotic LSU rRNA
Rfam family: 5.8S ribosomal RNA (bases 170-323)
Source: RNAcentral
CCUGCGGAGGGAUCAUUACCGAGUUUACAACUCCCAAACCCCUGUGAACAUACCUUAAUGUUGCCUCGGCGGAUCAGCCCGCGCCCCGUAAAACGGGACGGCCCGCCAGAGGACCCAAACUCUAAUGUUUCUUAUUGUAACUUCUGAGUAAAACAAACAAAUAAAUCAAAACUUUCAACAACGGAUCUCUUGGUUCUGGCAUCGAUGAAGAACGCAGCAAAAUGCGAUAAGUAAUGUGAAUUGCAGAAUUCAGUGAAUCAUCGAAUCUUUGAACGCACAUUGCGCCCGCUGGUAUUCCGGCGGGCAUGCCUGUUCGAGCGUCAUUUCAACCCUCAAGCCCCCGGGUUUGGUGUUGGGGAUCGGCUCUGCCUUCUGGCGGUGCCGCCCCCGAAAUACAUUGGCGGUCUCGCUGCAGCCUCCAUUGCGUAGUAGCUAACACCUCGCAACUGGAACGCGGCGCGGCCAUGCCGUAAAACCCCAACUUCUGAAUGUUGACC